This 814-nucleotide long non-coding RNA is filed under the name Homo sapiens (human). RNAcentral's name for it is "novel transcript". Lineage: Eukaryota; Metazoa; Chordata; Mammalia; Primates; Hominidae. The record is from RNAcentral.
GCACAACGUCGAAAGCAGCCGUUGGGAGCCCAGGAGGCGGGGCGCCUGUGGGAGCCGUGGAGGGAACUUUCCCAGUCCCCGAGGCGGAUCCGGUGUUGCAUCCUUGGAGCGAGCUGAGAGCUCGAGUACAGAACCUGCUAAGGCCAUCAAACCUAUUGAUCGGAAGUCAGUCCAUCAGAUUUGCUCUGGGCCGGUGGUACCGAGUCUAAGCACUGCGGUGAAGGAGUUAGUAGAAAACAGUCUGGAUGCUGGUGCCACUAAUAUUGCUCUGAAACAUCACACAUCUAAGAUUCAAGAGUUUGCCGACCUACCUCAGGUUGAAACUUUUGGCUUUCGGGGGGAAGCUCUGAGCUCACUUUGUGCACUGAGUGAUGUCACCAUUUCUACCUGCCAUGUAUCGGCGAAGGUUGGGACUCGACUGGUGUUUGAUCACUAUGGGAAAAUCAUCCAGAAAACCCCCUACCCCCACCCCAGAGGGAUGACAGUCAGUGUGAAGCAGUUAUUUUCUACGCUACCUGUGCACCAUAAAGAAUUUCAAAGGAAUAUUAAGAAGAAACGUGCCUGCUUCCCCUUCGCCUUCUGCCGUGAUUGUCAGUUUCCUGAGGCCUCCCCAGCCAUGCUUCCUGUACAGCCUGCAGAACUGACUCCUAGAAGUACCCCACCCCACCCCUGCUCCUUGGAGGACAACGUGAUCACUGUAUUCAGCUCUGUCAAGAAUGGUCCAGGUUCUUCUAGAUGAUCUGCACAAAUGGCUCCUCUCCUCCUUCCUGAUGUCUGCCAUUAGCACUGGAAUAAAGUUCCUGCUGAAAAUCCA